RNAcentral lists this transfer RNA (69 nucleotides) under Ictidomys tridecemlineatus (thirteen-lined ground squirrel). RNAcentral describes it as "Spermophilus tridecemlineatus (thirteen-lined ground squirrel) tRNA". It matches the Rfam family "tRNA". Rfam says of the family: Transfer RNA (tRNA) molecules are approximately 80 nucleotides in length. Their secondary structure includes four short double-helical elements and three loops (D, anti-codon, and T loops). The record is from Rfam by way of RNAcentral. Lineage: Eukaryota; Metazoa; Chordata; Mammalia; Rodentia; Sciuridae.
GGAACUAUAGCUCAGGAUAAGAGUGCUUGCCUAGAAUGCAAGAGGUCCUGAGUUCACUCUCUUGUACUA